GAUGAACGCUGGCGGCGUGCCUAAUACAUGCAAGUAGAACGCUGAAGGAGGAGCUUGCUCUUCUGGAUGAGUUGCGAACGGGUGAGUAACGCGUAGGUAACCUGCCUGGUAGCGGGGGAUAACUAUUGGAAACGAUAGCUAAUACCGCAUGACAACAGUUAUUGCAUGAUAACUGUUUAAAAGGGGCAACUGCUCCACUACCAGAUGGACCUGCGUUGUAUUAGCUAGUUGGUGAGGUAACGGCUCACCAAGGCGACGAUACAUAGCCGACCUGAGAGGGGGAUCGGCCACACUGGGACUGAGACACGGCCCAGACUCCUACGGGAGGCAGCAGUAGGGAAUCUUCGGCAAUGGACGGAAGUCUGACCAAGCAACGCCGCGUGAGUGAAGAAGGUUUUCGGAUCGUAAAGCUCUGUUGUAAGAGAAGAACGAGUGUGAGAGUGGAAAGUUCACACUGUGACGGUAUCUUACCAGAAAGGGACGGCUAACUACGUG
RNAcentral lists this ribosomal RNA (495 nucleotides) under uncultured bacterium. RNAcentral's name for it is "partial 16S ribosomal RNA". It matches the Rfam family "Bacterial small subunit ribosomal RNA", at positions 28 to 507 of the family's 1533-position model. The record is from RNAcentral.